RNAcentral lists this ribosomal RNA (468 nucleotides) under uncultured bacterium. RNAcentral describes it as "partial 16S ribosomal RNA". It matches the Rfam family "Bacterial small subunit ribosomal RNA", at positions 28 to 507 of the family's 1533-position model. The record is from RNAcentral.
GACGAACGCUGGCGGCGUGCUUAACACAUGCAAGUCGAACGGAAAGGCCCUGCUUUUGUGGGGUGCUCGAGUGGCGAACGGGUGAGUAACACGUGAGUAACCUGCCCUUGACUUUGGGAUAACUUCAGGAAACUGGGGCUAAUACCGGAUAGGAGCUCCUGCUGCAUGGUGGGGGUUGGAAAGUUUCGGCGGUUGGGGAUGGACUCGCGGCUUAUCAGCUUGUUGGUGGGGUAGUGGCUUAUCAAGGCUUUGACGGGUAGCCGGCCUGAGGGGGUGACCGGCCACAUUGGGACUGAGAUACGGCCCAGACUCCUACGGGAGGCAGCAGUGGGGAAUAUUGCACAAUGGGCGGAAGCCUGAUGCAGCAACGCCGCGUGCGGGAUGACGGCCUUCGGGUUGUAAACCGCUUUCGCCUGUGACGAAGCGUGAGUGACGGUAAUGGGUAAAGAAGCACCGGCUAACUACGUG